Molecule: ribosomal RNA, 253 nt
Filed under: uncultured bacterium
Lineage: Bacteria
Description: partial 16S ribosomal RNA
Rfam family: Bacterial small subunit ribosomal RNA
Source: RNAcentral
UACGUAGGUGGCAAGCGUUGUCCGGAUUUAUUGGGUUUAAAGGGUGCGUAGGCGGUCCUGUAAGUCAGUGGUGAAAUACGGCAGCUCAACUGUCGAGGUGCCAUUGAUACUGCGGGACUUGAGUACAGUCGAGGUAGGCGGAAUUGACGGUGUAGCGGUGAAAUGCUUAGAUAUCGUCAAGAACACCGAUAGCGAAGGCAGCUUACUAGGCUGUAACUGACGCUGAGGCACGAAGGUGCGGGGAUCAAACAGG